This 240-nucleotide ribosomal RNA is filed under the name uncultured Lactobacillus sp. RNAcentral's name for it is "partial 16S ribosomal RNA". It matches the Rfam family "Bacterial small subunit ribosomal RNA", at positions 122 to 354 of the family's 1533-position model. Lineage: Bacteria; Bacillati; Bacillota; Bacilli; Lactobacillales; Lactobacillaceae. The record is from RNAcentral.
UAACCUGCCCAAGAGAUCGGGAUAACACCUGGAGACAGAUGCUAAUACCGGAUAACAACAGAUGAUGCCUAUCAACUGUUUAAAAGAUGGUUCUGCUAUCACUCUUGGAUGGACCUGCGGUGCAUUAGCUAGUUGGUAGGGUAACGGCCUACCAAGGCGAUGAUGCAUAGCCGAGUUGAGAGACUGAUCGGCCACAUUGGGACUGAGACACGGCCCAAACUCCUACGGGAGGCAGCAGAA